This 279-nucleotide ribosomal RNA is filed under the name uncultured bacterium. RNAcentral's name for it is "partial 16S ribosomal RNA". It matches the Rfam family "Bacterial small subunit ribosomal RNA", at positions 506 to 784 of the family's 1533-position model. The record is from RNAcentral.
UGCCAGCCGCCGCGGUAAUACGAAGGGACCUAGCGUAGUUCGGAAUUACUGGGCUUAAAGAGUUCGUAGGUGGUUAAAAAAGUUGGUGGUGAAAUCCCAGAGCUCAACUCUGGAACUGCCAUCAAAACUUUUUAGCUAGAGUAUGAUAGAGGAAAGCAGAAUUUCUAGUGUAGAGGUGAAAUUCGUAGAUAUUAGAAAGAAUACCGAUUGCGAAGGCAGCUUACUAACAAUUAACUGACUCUGAGGUACGAAAGCGUGGGGAGCAAACAGGAUUAGAUA